ACUGCUAAUACUCUAUACUCCUGUCUUACAUAAGUUAGAUAGGGAAAGUUUUUCGGUGUAGGAUGAGGCUAUAUUGUAUCAGCUAGUUGGUGAGGUAAUGGCUCACCAAGGCUAUGACGCAUAACUGGUCUGAGAGGAUGAUCAGUCACACUGGAACUGAGACACGGUCCAGACUCCUACGGGAGGCAGCAGUAGGGAAUAUUGCUCAAUGGGGGAAACCCUGAAGCAGCAACGCCGCGUGGAGGAUGACACUUUUCGGAGCGUAAACUCCUUUUGUUAGGGAAGAAUAAUGACGGUACCUAACGAAUAAGCACCGGCUAACUCCGUGCCAGCAGCCGCGGUAAUACGGAGGGUGCAAGCGUUACUCGGAAUCACUGGGCGUAAAGGACGCGUAGGCGGAUUAUCAAGUCUCUUGUGAAAUCCUAUGGCUUAACCAUAGAACUGCUUGGGAAACUGAUAAUCUAGAGUGAGGGAGAGGCAGAUGGAAUUGGUGGUGUAGGGGUAAAAUCCGUAGAGAUCACCAGGAAUACCCAUUGCGAAGGCGAUCUGCUGGAACUCAACUGACGCUAAUGCGUGAAAGCGUGGGGAGCAAACAGGAUUAGAUACCCUGGUAGUCCACGCCCUAAACGAUGUAUACUAGUUGUUGCUAAGCUAGUCUUGGCAGUAAUGCACCUAACGGAUUAAGUAUACCGCCUGGGGAGUACGGUCGCAAGAUUAAAACUCAAAGGAAUAGACGGGGACCCGCACAAGCGGUGGAGCAUGUGGUUUAAUUCGAAGAUACGCGAAGAACCUUACCCGGACUUGAUAUCUAACAAAUCAUCCAGAGAUGGAAGAGUGUCUGCUUGCAGAAAUGUUAAGACAGGUGCUGCACGGCUGUCGUCAGCUCGUGUCGUGAGAUGUUGGGUUAAGUCCCGCAACGAGCGCAACCCACGUCAUUAGUUGCUAACAGUUCGGCUGAGCACUCUAAUGAGACUGCCUUCGUAAGGAGGAGGAAGGUGUGGACGACGUCAAGUCAUCAUGGCCCUUAUGUCCGGGGCGACACACGUGCUACAAUGGCAUAUACAAUGAGACGCAAUAUCGCGAGAUGGAGCAAAUCUAUAAAAUAUGUCCCAGUUCGGAUUGGAGUCUGCAACUCGACUCCAUGAAGCCGGAAUCGCU
Molecule: ribosomal RNA, 1158 nt
Filed under: Campylobacter concisus
Lineage: Bacteria; Pseudomonadati; Campylobacterota; Epsilonproteobacteria; Campylobacterales; Campylobacteraceae
Description: bacterial SSU rRNA
Rfam family: Bacterial small subunit ribosomal RNA
Source: RNAcentral